UAUCCGUCACAUCUAAGAGAGCAGUUGC
This 28-nucleotide non-coding RNA is filed under the name Bombyx mori (domestic silkworm). Lineage: Eukaryota; Metazoa; Arthropoda; Insecta; Lepidoptera; Bombycidae. The record is from RNAcentral.